GAUAAACGCUGGCGGCGCACAUAAGACAUGCAAGUCGAACGGACUUAACCAUUAGUUUACUAUUGGAGCGGUUAGUGGCGGACUGGUGAGUAACGCGUGAGGAACCUGCCUUUCAGAGGGGGACAACAGUUGGAAACGACUGCUAAUACCGCAUGACACAUUGAGGGGGCAUCCCUUUGAUGUCAAAGAUUUAUCGCUGAAAGAUGGCCUCGCGUCCCAUUAGCUAGUUGGUGAGGUAACGGCCCACCAAGGCGACGAUGGGUAGCCGGACUGAGAGGUUGACCGGCCACAUUGGGACUGAGAUACGGCCCAG
This 313-nucleotide ribosomal RNA is filed under the name uncultured bacterium. RNAcentral's name for it is "bacterial SSU rRNA". It matches the Rfam family "Bacterial small subunit ribosomal RNA", at positions 28 to 334 of the family's 1533-position model. The record is from RNAcentral.